Long non-coding RNA from Trichosurus vulpecula (common brushtail), 339 nucleotides. RefSeq lists it as uncharacterized. The transcript is spliced from 2 exons. The record is from RefSeq and is a predicted model, not a curated record. NCBI's taxonomy places the organism in Eukaryota, Metazoa, Chordata, Mammalia, Diprotodontia, Phalangeridae.
UAGAUAACAGUUCUCUGGGCAUUUUAAUACUUUCCAGUGGUAUUGGCAUAUGAGAGAAAACAUCUUAAGACUGUGUCCUAGUCUGUUGCAGCUGGUUUAAUGAAACAGAUUAAAACUGAAGAAGCAAAUGGACCAAUAACACUAAAAAAAAAAAGUAGUUCCAGGAUCUUUAUCAUGAAUACAUUUUUUCAUGUGAUGUGUUCAGUCAACAUCUAUGCCAUGUUUACAAACCAAUUCUCUUGGCGAUGUCUUCCCCUGUCUUCCAGAAGUUGAGAGUAAUUUCUUCUUUCAGAUAGAAAAGAAGAAUGAUUUACAAUAAAGUUAAAUUACUCGCCAGCA